GUCUUUUAGAAUUUAAUUAAAAGUCUAAUCUGCUCAAUGAAUAAUUUUAAAUAGCCGCAGUAUUCUAACUGUGCAAAGGUAGCAUAAUAAUUUGUCCUCUAAUUAAGGACUAGAAUGAAUGAUUUGACGAAGUUAAAACUUUCUCAUUAUUAUUAAUUAUUGAAAUUAAUUUUUAAGUUAAAAAGCUUAAAUAAUAUUAAAGGACGAGAAGACCCUAUAGAGUUUAAUAUUUUAUAUUAUAUUAAAAUUUAAUUUUUAUUUAAAAUAAUAUAAAUUAUUUUAUUGGGGAGAUAAUUAAAUUUAAAAAACUUUUUAUUUAUAAAAACAUUGAUUAUUGAUAUUUUGAUCCUAAAAUUUAGAUUAUUAGAAUAAAUUACCUUAGGGAUAACAGCGUUAUUUUAUUAAAAGUUCUUAUUAACAAUAAAAAUUGCGACCUCGAUGUUGGAUUAAAAUUUAUUUUAGGUGUAGAAGUUUAAAAAUUAGGUCUGUUCGACCUUUAAAAUUUUACA
This 509-nucleotide ribosomal RNA is filed under the name Diprion cf. pini Sus35. Its description in RNAcentral is "partial 16S ribosomal RNA". The stretch from base 384 to 509 matches the Rfam family "Bacterial large subunit ribosomal RNA", at positions 2473 to 2600 of the family's 2925-position model. The record is from RNAcentral. Lineage: Eukaryota; Metazoa; Arthropoda; Insecta; Hymenoptera; Diprionidae.